Molecule: small nuclear RNA, 104 nt
Organism: Pteropus vampyrus (large flying fox)
Lineage: Eukaryota; Metazoa; Chordata; Mammalia; Chiroptera; Pteropodidae
Source: Ensembl
GUUCCCUUCAGCAGAACAUAUACUAAAAUUCAAAUGACAUAGAGAAGAUAAGCAUGGAUCUGUGCAACGAUAACAUGCAAACUCAUGGAGCAUUCCAUGUUUUU